UACGUAGGGUGCAAGCGUUAAUCGGAAUUACUGGGCGUAAAGCGUGCGCAGGCGGUUUUGUAAGUCUGUCGUGAAAGCCCCGGGCUCAACCUGGGAAUUGCGAUGGAGACUGCAAGGCUUGAAUUUGGCAGAGGGGGGUAGAAUUCCGCGUGUAGCAGUGAAAUGCGUAGAGAUGUGGAGGAACACCGAUGGCGAAGGCAGCCCCCUGGGUCAAGAUUGACGCUCAUGCACGAAAGCGUGGGGAGCAAACAGG
Molecule: ribosomal RNA, 253 nt
Filed under: uncultured bacterium
Lineage: Bacteria
Description: partial 16S ribosomal RNA
Rfam family: Bacterial small subunit ribosomal RNA
Source: RNAcentral